AAAAACCUUACCAGGUCUUGACAAACUUUUGCAAAGUAUAGAAAUAUAGUGGAGGGUUAUCAGGGAUACAGGUGGUGCAUGGUUGUCGUCAGCUCGUGUCGUGAAAUGUUAGGUUAAGUCCUAAAACGAGCGCCAACCCUUGUCGUUAGUUACCAGCACGUUAUGGUGGGGACUUUAGCGAGACUGCCAAUUAAAAAUUGGAGGAAGGUGAGGAUUACGUCAAAUCAUCAUGCCCCCUUAUGAUCUGGGCUACAAACGUGAUACAAUGGCUGUUACAAAGAGUCGCUGAAACGUGAGUUUUUGGCUAAUCUCAAAAAAGCAGUCUCAGUUCGGAUUGAAGUCUGCAACUCGACUUCAUGAAGUUGGAAUCGCUAGUAAUCGCGAAUCAGCAUGUCGCGGUGAAUACCGUUCUCGGGGUUUGUACACACCGCCCGUCAAACCACGAAAGUUGACAAUACCCGAAAGCAGUGACUUAACUUCGAUACGAGAGGGAACUGUCUAAGGUAGGGUUGAUGAUUGGGGUUAAGUCGUAACAAGGUAUCCCUACCGGAAGGUGGGGAUGGAUCA
Molecule: ribosomal RNA, 567 nt
Filed under: Sugarcane phytoplasma type B
Lineage: Bacteria; Bacillati; Mycoplasmatota; Mollicutes; Acholeplasmatales; Acholeplasmataceae
Description: bacterial SSU rRNA
Rfam family: Bacterial small subunit ribosomal RNA
Source: RNAcentral